This 253-nucleotide unclassified non-coding RNA is filed under the name uncultured Simkaniaceae bacterium. Its description in RNAcentral is "contains 16S-23S intergenic spacer region". It matches the Rfam family "Bacterial small subunit ribosomal RNA", at positions 524 to 776 of the family's 1533-position model. Lineage: Bacteria; Pseudomonadati; Chlamydiota; Chlamydiia; Parachlamydiales; Simkaniaceae. The record is from RNAcentral.
UACGGAGGGUGCAAGCAUUAAUCGGAUUCAUUGGGUGUAAAGAGCAUGUAGGCGGAUAAGUCAGUCAGAUGUGAAAUUUCGAAGCUCAACUUCGAAGCUGCAUUUGAAACUACUUAUCUCGAGGUUAGACGGAGAAAACGGAAUUCCAAGUGUAGCGGUGAAAUGCGUAGAUAUUUGGAAGAACACCGGUGGCGAAAGCGGUUUUCUAGUUUAUUCCUGACGCUGAGAUGCGAGAGCAAGGGGAGCAAACAGG